This 253-nucleotide ribosomal RNA is filed under the name uncultured bacterium. RNAcentral describes it as "partial 16S ribosomal RNA". It matches the Rfam family "Bacterial small subunit ribosomal RNA", at positions 524 to 776 of the family's 1533-position model. The record is from RNAcentral.
UACGAAGGGUGCAAGCGUUAAUCGGAAUUACUGGGCGUAAAGCGUGCGUAGGCGGUUCGUUAAGUCUGCUGUGAAAUCCCCGGGCUCAACCUGGGAAUGGCAGUGGAUACUGGCAAGCUAGAGUGUGUCAGAGGAUGGUGGAAUUCCCGGUGUAGCGGUGAAAUGCGUAGAGAUCGGGAGGAACAUCAGUGGCGAAGGCGGCCAUCUGGGACAACACUGACGCUGAGGCACGAAAGCGUGGGGAGCAAACAGG